ACACAAAGUUACAACAGCCAAUCAACACAGUACAGUCAGACACUCCCAGCUAAGGCACACAAACCCUCCCCUCUGCCUGCGAUAUAAUUACUGAACACAAUGGGCUACCUUAAUUAUCACAGGCAGAAAAUAUACAGUUUUACCCAAAACACAGAAACCCCCCCAAAACAACAUACCCCCAUAAAUAUACAUCCCUGAAUAGCCUUGAUCUGGGUGAACAACAUAUCCAAAAAUCACCCAGAUCAGAGCAGGGCUUCAAACGUUUUAUGGAAUUUACAUUUGACUGACUGCAAGCAUGGCUUUCAUGCCCAAAACAGUUCCACAGAUUUAGGCUGUGCAGCCGGUCUAUCUUCUCCUCUAUUCUGGAGAUAAUAGGCUUAAGUGGGUGUGGUAAGCCAAUUAUCUCCAGGUACAGAAAAUAUCUCUAAGUCCAAAAACUGUUACAAAAACCUACAUAAAAAUACAUAACUCAUAUAAUACAAUGUUUAAUCUAUAUGUCCAACAUAUCCCCAGAUAGCUUGGAUCUGAGCGCUCAAUAUGUCCGAAAAGCGUUCAGAUCUCACAAAUACAGUUGGAUCGCCCUGGGGUUAAACAAUAGCAAGGGCUGAUGAGAGAUUGAGGAUGGACAAAGCAUCCAGUUUCAACUGGUCUGGCAGUGUCCCUGGGACAACACCCUGCUGGAGAACAAUGGGACAGGAAAAAGAGGAGGGGAAGAGGCACAUUCUCCCAUGGAAUCAAAGGGGCAGAAAAAGUGUUUCAAAAUCCAAUAAGCCCAAAUAGACUUUUUAAAUUGCAAUACACCCCAGGGGGCAUAGUCACAGGGCAAGAGGCUGGCAAGCAGGCCUCUCCAAAACCCAGUGGCAAGGUCGCCACACUCUGUAAUUGCACAAGGUGAGCCAAUACCAGUUUAAAGAAACAUGUUUUCCUGCCACUAUAAUCGUGAUGUGGCAUUUUGGGCCGGCUGACCGACCAGACUCUGAUCACGUUGAAAAGGUGAUUUUGCUCACCCUUUUCUCCCACCCCGCAUUGAUCUUGCUGAGCCUGGAUCCAUCUCCAAGGCCAAUCAGCAGGGACCUACUGAAGGGCAAGUUAUUUGAGUUGUACCUUCUCAGUAUUCUCUUGAAAUCUGUUUUGGUUUGUUCAUUUAACAACAUUGUAAGUUACUACAAUUUGGAUGUACGAGUCACUGAUGAUGCACAAUAUUGGUAUCAAGUCCUACAAGCGGUGCAUCAGUUUGCAUUUAUUUAAUAAAUUGUUUGGCUCAUGUAUUUGUUGUUUUGCAUAUUUAUCCCCUCCCUUUAAAGCUUGGGUAUUCCCAUUAGUAUGUUACCAUGCUAAGCCAGGAAAAAACUAAAUGUAUUCAUCGUUACCAUAAUUUUAUUUUCAAGGCUAUUAUCGACAGAAGCCAUGAUUUUAAUAUGCCACUUGGACUAUCGGGUUUGGAGCUUGUUACUGACUGGUGAUCAUGUGGCCUGGACCUACUUUUAAAGAUUUGAUAGGCUGUAAGGGCC
This is a non-coding RNA of Pelobates cultripes (western spadefoot toad), 1511 nucleotides long. The record is from the annotation of a GenBank genome assembly. NCBI's taxonomy places the organism in Eukaryota, Metazoa, Chordata, Amphibia, Anura, Pelobatidae.